Molecule: ribosomal RNA, 497 nt
Filed under: uncultured bacterium
Lineage: Bacteria
Description: partial 16S ribosomal RNA
Rfam family: Bacterial small subunit ribosomal RNA
Source: RNAcentral
GACGAACGCUGGCGGCGUGCCUAAUACAUGCAAGUUGAGCGCUGAAGGUUGGUACUUGUACCAACUGGAUGAGCAGCGAACGGGUGAGUAACGCGUGGGGAAUCUGCCUUUGAGCGGGGGACAACAUUUGGAAACGAAUGCUAAUACCGCAUAAAAACUUUAAACACAAGUUUUAAGUUUGAAAGAUGCAAUUGCAUCACUCAAAGAUGAUCCCGCGUUGUAUUAGCUAGUUGGGGAGGUAAAGGCUCACCAAGGCGAUGAUACAUAGCCGACCUGAGAGGGUGGUCGGCGACAUUGGGAGUGAGACACGGCACAAACUCCUACGGGAGGAAGCAGUAGGGAAUCUUAGGCAAUGGACGAGAGUGUGACCGAGGAAAGCCGCGUGAGUGAAGAAGGUUUUAGGAUCGGAACACUCUGUUGGUAGAGAAGAACGUUGGUGAGAGUGGAAAGCACAUCAAGUGACGGUAACUACCCAGAAAGGGACGGCUAACUACGUG